Scophthalmus maximus (turbot) is the source of this 2610-nucleotide RNA transcript. It is a transcript of the gene named popeye domain containing 2, with no coding region annotated. NCBI's taxonomy places the organism in Eukaryota, Metazoa, Chordata, Actinopteri, Pleuronectiformes, Scophthalmidae. The transcript is spliced from 4 exons. The record is from RefSeq and is a predicted model, not a curated record.
GCGGCUGAGAGGGAAGAAGGCACGAGAGGCAGACGACAGGAAGACACCGAGGGGACGAGACGGGAGCGAGAAAGCCAGAGGAGGGAAGAGGGGACACACAAUGAGAGGAGGAGGAGGAGGGGAAGAAGAAGAAGAAGAAGAAGAAACUCAUUCCAGCUGUGCUUCUGUCGCCAACAGAGUCGUGAGAACUUCUUCACGUCGACGACUUUUCCAGUGCAGGUCGAGGGAACAAACAAUUGCUUCUGACUUUUUAUUUCGUUUUUAGAAUUUUUUGAUCGAGCCCUGAUUCAAACACAAAGCUGACAGAAAUAGCAGCAACUCUCACUGGGUGGAGAGUCUUGCUGGUUCCGUUGUUAUUCUCUUCUCUUGUCAUUUGUCAAGAGUUUCAAACAUGAGCGCAGACAACUCGACCCUGCUGGACAGCUUGUUGUUCGCCCCCCUGUGCGAUGGCUGGAGCAACAACACGGAGGGAGCCAUCUACCACCUGGGCAACACCAUCCUGUUCCUGGGCUACAUGGGGGGCAGCGGGGCCUACGGGUGCCUCUUCAUCUUCGGCUUCAUGGCUCCGGCCUUGGCGUGUCUGACCCUGUGGGGCUGGAUGACAAUGUGCGGCCUGGACGUCUUCACCUGGAACCUGCUGCUGCUGCUGGCCUGCUUGGCCCAGAUCUGCCACCUGCUCUGCCGGCUGCACCAGGAGGGCAUACGCAGCGAGGAGCUCACCUCGCUCUACCAGGCGGUCUACCUGCCGCUGGGCGUGCCCGUCCGGGUGUUCAAGGAGAUAGCGAGGGCUUUCGAGAGCAAAGUGGUGGAGCUGAAGGCGGGAGAGACGUACGCCGUGGAGGGCAAGACGCCCAUCGACCAGCUCUCCUUCCUGCUGUCUGGGAGGAUCAGCGUAUCGUUGGAGGGCCAGUUCCUGCACUACAUCCACCGCCACCAGUUCCUCGACUCUCCAGAGUGGGAGUCUCUCAGACCAAACGAGGAGGGAAAGUUCCAGGUGACCCUGACGGCCGAGGAGGACUCCCGCUACGUCUCAUGGCGCCGCCGGCGCCUCUACAUGCUGAUAUCGAAGGAGCGCGACAUCGCCCGCCUCUUCUCCGUCAUGCUGGGCUACGACAUCGCCGAAAAGCUCUACAACCUCAACAGCAAGCUGUACAUCAAGAGCGGCGUGCUGCUGGACAUCCGCCUGCCCAGCCUCUACCACGUGCUGGCCCCGUCGUCGCAGGGCAGCGAGGGCGGCAGCUGCAGCGACGGCGGCGCCGCCAAGGAGCAGCACGUCGAGCAGCAGGACGAGGACCAAGUGCCGGCCUACGAGAAGUUCCAACCAGCCCAGCCUCAGCCCCUCCAGCCGCACCUGCAGGGACCAAGGGAGACGUACCUGGAUGAACCCCAGGCCCCUCAGCCUGACCGUUACCAGCACCCCUGGGCGUCAGAGCCUCUGGAGCUGCUCUCUGGUGAGGACUCCACCAGCCUGGUCCUGGAGGACUUUGCCGAUGUGGCGGGCUCCUUAAUGGAUUAUGGCAGUGAGAGGGAUUAUUUGAGGUAGAGGGGCAGGGUGCUGGAGCUAACACACUGGGUCACCUACUUAAGCUACAUGAGGUGAAAGCGGCGUGGAUCUACCGGCCCGAUUCCGAAGGGGCCGAGCGCCGCUGGCUCCCACCGACACGCCCAAACUGUGAGAACAGCCUCUCCUGGAAACACUCAGUUAUUUACUGUGUAGCGGUACGAAUGUGUCACGUGUCACUCGUUAUGGCACUGUCUCCUCCUCCUCUUCCUCCUCCUCCUCUUCCUCAUCUCUGCCCCUGGUCUCACCUCAGGUCACGUCUUCACUCGCGAGCACGUUGAACGCGUGCCCUUCUUUCUCCACGUUCAAAUUACGUUUUCAAAAAUGACGCGAAAGCCGAUAUUGAUAUGUUUCAAUAAUCAAUAUUUUGAGCUCAUGAUUUUCACCGUACUAGCCCUCGUCAUGAAGUCUCUGAAGCAGCAUUUAGGCAAAAAAAUGAUUGUCAUGAUAAUGACACCAUUAUCUUAACCGGUACUGAGACAUGGAAGAGAUUUGUCACUUAUACCAGCACAUUAAAUGUCUGAAUUAGUUAAUUCCUGUUAUAAAAAUAGAUCUUUAUGUUGACGAUUUUCAUUUUCAUGUUGUUUUUUUUCAUCUCACUAAUAUUCAAUGUAUUUGAAAGACUUUUGAUGUUUUGGUUCACAAAUAACUCAGAGUGAGUAUUGAUUUUUAACUGCACACUUUCUAGAUCGGACUUAUUGAGUCUGCGUCAUAGUCAAUUCUUCAUCCUGUCACGAGCGGGGAAAUGUUCAAUUGAGAUUUGCUCUAUUACUUCCAUGUGUUGUUGGGAAUGUUUGGUUUUAUCACCUGAACGCACCGUGACCCUGCACAGAGUCUUCCGUGGCGAUAUUACUAUUGGAUGUCUGUUGUAGACCAUGUUUCUUUUUAAAUAACCAAUUGAGUAUCUCAUACACACACACACACAUGCAUCAUGUGAAUUGUCUGUUGUUAUCUUCCAAAAAUAGAGAGAUGGGACUUAAAUGAUGCAGUCAAUGUUUUUUCAUGGGGCCAAGAUUUCUCCAUAAAGCUCUUUGUGUGCGGUGAAGAUG